AUGCCACGCCGUGCGAAGCUUGUUGAUGACACCAAAUGGAGGGAAGUAGCAUUUGCUAACAGAUAUGCCCUGUUUAUCGGAUACCUGUCCAUGGCCAUCAGGGGUCUGGGCUUCCUGGUGCUUACUUGGACCACCGUCGUGCUUCUUGGUGGAUUUGUCUCUACACUGCAGAGGAAGGACUUUUGGUGUCUUACAUUCAUUACCCUUGUGCAGACAGCUGGGAUAGUCUUGUUAAAAUUUGGUUGA
RNAcentral lists this ribosomal RNA (246 nucleotides) under Triticum aestivum (bread wheat). RNAcentral's name for it is "partial small subunit ribosomal RNA". Lineage: Eukaryota; Viridiplantae; Streptophyta; Magnoliopsida; Poales; Poaceae. The record is from RNAcentral.